This 406-nucleotide ribosomal RNA is filed under the name uncultured bacterium. Its description in RNAcentral is "partial 16S ribosomal RNA". It matches the Rfam family "Bacterial small subunit ribosomal RNA", at positions 30 to 526 of the family's 1533-position model. The record is from RNAcentral.
AUUGAACGCUGGCGGCAGGCCUAACACAUGCAAGUCGAACGAGUGGCGGACGGGUGAGUAAUGUCUGGGAAACUGCCCGAUGGAGGGGGAUAACUACUGGAAACGGUAGCUAAUACCGCGUACCAUCGGAUGUGCCCAGAUGGGAUUAGCUUGUAGGUGAGGUAACGGCUCACCUAGGCGACGAUCCCUAGCUUGUCUGAGAGGAUGACCAGCCACACUGUAACUGAGACACGGUCCAGACUCCUACGAGAGGCAGCACUAAAAAAUAUUGCACAAUAAUCACAAGCCUGAUGCAGCCAUGCCACAUGUAUGAAUAAAGCCUUCGAGUUCUAAAGUACUUUCAGCGAAAAGGCGUUACCCGCAGAAGAAGCACCGGCUAACUCCGUGCCAGCAGCCGCGGUAAUAC